AUUGAACGCUGGCGGCAUGCCUAACACAUGCAAGUCGAACGACAGCACGGGGGCUUGCCCCUGGUGGCGAGUGGCGCACGGGGGAGUAAUACACGUGGACAUGUCCUCUAGUGGGGGGUAGCCCCGCGAAAGCCGGGUUAAUACCGCAUACGAUUCUCUGGAGACAGCGGGGGACCUUCUGGCCUCGCGCUUUAGGGUUGGCCGAUGGCGGAUUAGCUAGUUGGUGGGGUAAAGGCCUACCAAGGCCACGAUCAGUAGCUGGUCUGAGAGGGCGAUCAGCCACACUGGAACUGAGACACGGCCCAGACUCCUACGGGAGGCAGCAGUGGGGAAUCUUCGACAAUGGGCGAAAGCCUGAUGCAGCAAUGCCGCGUGUGUGAAGAAGGCCUUCGGGUUGUAAAGCACUUUUGUCCGGAAAGAAAACCUUGACACUAAUACAGGCGGGGGAUGACGGUACCGGAAGAGUAAGCCCCGGCUAACUACGUG
RNAcentral lists this ribosomal RNA (486 nucleotides) under uncultured bacterium. RNAcentral's name for it is "partial 16S ribosomal RNA". It matches the Rfam family "Bacterial small subunit ribosomal RNA", at positions 29 to 507 of the family's 1533-position model. The record is from RNAcentral.